Molecule: ribosomal RNA, 253 nt
Filed under: uncultured bacterium
Lineage: Bacteria
Description: partial 16S ribosomal RNA
Rfam family: Bacterial small subunit ribosomal RNA
Source: RNAcentral
UACGUAGGGGGCAAGCGUUAUCCGGAUUCACUGGGUUUAAAGGGUGCGUAGGUGGGUUGGUAAGUCCGUGGUGAAAUCUCCGAGCUUAACUCGGAAACUGCCGUGGAUACUAUCAAUCUUGAAUACUGUGGAGGUAAGCGGAAUAUGUCAUGUAGCGGUGAAAUGCUUAGAUAUGACAUAGAACACCGAUAGCGAAGGCAGCUUGCUACACAGUCAUUGACACUGAGGCACGAAAGCGUGGGGAGCAAACAGG